Cercocebus atys (sooty mangabey) is the source of this 770-nucleotide long non-coding RNA. RefSeq lists it as uncharacterized. The transcript has 3 exons. The record is from RefSeq and is a predicted model, not a curated record. NCBI's taxonomy places the organism in Eukaryota, Metazoa, Chordata, Mammalia, Primates, Cercopithecidae.
UGAAAACCCCUCAGGCCCCGUGAGAAACCCCAAAGGUGACUGAGUGUCCACAGGAAACACCCCGGCCUCCGAGGGUCCCCCCGUCCCUGGGUGGCACCGUCAUCCACCAAGCUCCGCCCCCCAGGACAAUGGGGUGAGGAAGUGCUGCCCGUGCCCAGCUCGUGCCCUGAAGAGGAGGGGCCCGGCUGCUCAGGGCUUGUCUCCAGCUUCCCCAAGCUGGCUCAGGCCGAGGGAACAGAGGACGCUUGGGGACAGGAGGAGCUGCAGAAGCAGAACUGAGACUCAGAGACCAUGGAGGGGGUGGAGGCUGAGUCUUCCUGGGCUGAGCAGGGGGAACUCCAGCCCCCAAUUGCCCAAAUGAGCUUCAGGAAAGGCUCUGGGCCUUACUCAGGAGAACGCUUCCCAGCAGGGGGCACAGGGGGACCACCGUGCACAGACGUCCAGCAUCUCGAAGGAUACUGACCAAACCCCAGAGGAUGACCGGGCAGCGUUUCUUCCCUCUGUUCACUCGUGUGUUUCACCUUCUCAGACAACGGUAUGCGGUUUCUGUGACGUCCAUCAAGGUGACAUCCUAAAACCAGAAAAAGGAAGUGCACCAGGAGGGGAGACAGCCCACGGGAGCUCUUCCCCACCGCCGCUCCCCCUCGGACAGGCCCCGUGCUGGAUGCAUUAGAAGACAGACUUCAGCUCCAAGCCAGCAGCCGGCAACACUGAAUAUUCAUGCCUCGACUUCCACGCUUUUCAAUUAAACACAAUAAAGUAAAUUCCCG